AUGUACUGGGCGUACGCUGCGUUACUUCGCGCUGUCCGCAGCCACCUGACGACUGCUCGCUAGGUUUUGUCAGUC
RNAcentral lists this small RNA (75 nucleotides) under Xanthomonas fragariae. RNAcentral's name for it is "sX9 sRNA". It matches the Rfam family "Xanthomonas sRNA sX9". Lineage: Bacteria; Pseudomonadati; Pseudomonadota; Gammaproteobacteria; Lysobacterales; Lysobacteraceae. The record is from RNAcentral.